AGGCAUCCUAGGGGACGGGAGUCAGACAGGCGAGUUAGAGGAGGUCAAGUUGGGAGAAUGGCUGAGUCCUCAGGAGCGUACCCAAGUACUGCAGAAAGCCACCUUUCUGCAAUGUGCCCGGGUACACCCCUUUGACACCAGGUCAACUCCCACUAUGCCAACCCCCAUACCAAAUCCCUGAAUCUGUACAGGAGAAUAUACAGAAGGAGAUGCAGAUCAGCUCCCACUACGGUAACCCCC
Molecule: non-coding RNA, 240 nt
Organism: Pelobates cultripes (western spadefoot toad)
Lineage: Eukaryota; Metazoa; Chordata; Amphibia; Anura; Pelobatidae
Source: the annotation of a GenBank genome assembly